This 534-nucleotide ribosomal RNA is filed under the name Triticum aestivum (bread wheat). Its description in RNAcentral is "partial small subunit ribosomal RNA". Lineage: Eukaryota; Viridiplantae; Streptophyta; Magnoliopsida; Poales; Poaceae. The record is from RNAcentral.
AUAAGCUGGAACUGUCGCGGGGCGGGGAACCCCACGACAGUUCGAGAUCUCGCGUCUCUUGUUAGGACGCAUUCCUCGAGUCCUGUUUUUCUUUGCGAGACUAGGCAAAAUAAAGAACAAGUGUAUCGUCUUAGAAACAGAUUAGGUCUUUCUGGUUUAGAAGCAAUCAGUUGUAAUGGUCGUAGUGGUGGCUUAGCUUUGUAUUGGCAUGAGUCUAUGUACGUUGAUAUUCAAGAAGCCAAUGAACGAUUGAUCGAUGUGUACUUGCGGGUCUCGGCUGAUGCACCACUUUGGCAGGCUACUUUUGUGUACGGAGAACCUCGCGUGGAGAACCGUCAUCUUAUGUGGAACAAGCUCAGGAGCUUACAUGCACAAAGUACGCUGCCUUGGAUUCUGAUUGGCGAUUUCAAUGAAGCUAUGUGGGAUUUUGAGCAUCAAACAGAAACACCGAGAUCGGCAGGCCAGAUGCUAAGUUUUCGUGAUUCCUUAGAGGCUUGUGGUCUUACGGAUAUUGGAUUUUCAGGUCACCUAUGA